UUGGUUUCAGAGAAAUCCGACGUACUUCUGAUGAAAUGCAGAAGACAUUAAGGUACGUACCUUUUCCGGUGGGCUUCUGAUCUCCCGCUGGAUCAAAAUGGAGGCCAGCUCUGCGCAUCGGCCGGCGCUGGACGCCUCCCUCCCUGGCGAUGAUGCUUCUAAACGCCCGUUGCUCUCCGUUCUUCUCAGGGAUGUCUCACCAGCAAGGGGACGAUGGCUCAGGUUGUUCACGCUGAUCUCACUCAGCUGCUCGUCGUUCUGCUGUGCCAGCCCCGCCAUCUUCGGCCGAGCUCGAGCUCUGGGUGACACGGACUCUGAGGCGCGCCUCGUCGUGGGCUGCUGCUUCCUCGGCUUGGUUGGCUCAGACUUCUUCUCUUGCUCCAGUUUCCUCAGCUGCUGGAGCCGUGGACUGAGUGAGCCAGAAGAUUUCACGGCGCCGCCUCUGCUGUUCUCCUUCGUCAACUGCGGAGACCGAGGUGAGCCAUGGGAGGCUUGAACUCGAGCUCUUUGCGAACUGUUUCCUUCCUCAUCACUGCACCUGCGAUUCUCUGUGUUCUCAGUGGCGCUGCCGCCCGUGUGAACCCUUCGAAGGCUGGCGAGCCCGCCGAGAGGAAUUAUCGAAGAAGAAGGGAUGUGGGACCGGUGGAUGGACCUCGCAGGCUUCAUAAUCACAAUGGGAGGGGCCUCUGAUGAAAAAGAUCCGAUCAGCUGUCUGGUUUGCGGAUUUUGAACCCCCGCAGUUCUU
This 745-nucleotide long non-coding RNA is filed under the name Spirodela polyrhiza (greater duckweed). RNAcentral describes it as "long non-coding RNA (SPOL_LNC001285)". Lineage: Eukaryota; Viridiplantae; Streptophyta; Magnoliopsida; Alismatales; Araceae. The record is from RNAcentral.